UACGUAGGGUGCAAGCGUUAAUCGGAAUUACUGGGCGUAAAGCGUGCGCAGGCGGCUUUGCAAGACAGAUGUGAAAUCCCCGGGCUCAACCUGGGAACUGCGUUUGUGACUGUAUGACUAGAGUACGGUAGAGAGGGGUGGAAUUCCUGGUGUAGCAGUGAAAUGCGUAGAUAUCAGGAGGAACAUCGAUGGCGAAGGCAGCCCCUUGGACCUGUACUGACGCUCAUGCACGAAAGCGUGGGGAGCAAACAGG
This 253-nucleotide ribosomal RNA is filed under the name uncultured bacterium. RNAcentral describes it as "partial 16S ribosomal RNA". It matches the Rfam family "Bacterial small subunit ribosomal RNA", at positions 524 to 776 of the family's 1533-position model. The record is from RNAcentral.